AGAUUGAACGCUGGCGGCAGGCCUAACACAUGCAAGUCGAGCGGUAGAGAGGUGCUUGCAUCUCUUGAGAGCGGCGGACGGGUGAGUAAUGCCUAGGAAUCUGCCUAGUGGUGGGGGAUAACGUUCGGAAACGGACGCUAAUACCGCAUACGUCCUACGGGAGAAAGCGGGGGACCUUCGGGCCUCGCGCCAUUAGAUGAGCCUAGGUCGGAUUAGCUAGUUGGUGAGGUAAUGGCUCACCAAGCGACGAUCCGUAACUGGUCUGAGAGGAUGAUCAGUCACACUGGAACUGAGACACGGUCCAGACUCCUACGGGAGGCAGCAGUGGGGAAUAUUGGACAAUGGGCGAAAGCCUAGAUCCAGCCAUGCCGCGUGUGUGAAGAAGGUCUUCGGAUUGUAAAGCACUUUAAGUUGGAGGAAGGUUGUAACCUAAUACGUUGCAACUUUGACGUUACCGAACAGAAUAAGCAACCGGCUAAACUUCGUGCCUAGUAGACCG
Molecule: ribosomal RNA, 499 nt
Filed under: uncultured soil bacterium
Lineage: Bacteria
Description: bacterial SSU rRNA
Rfam family: Bacterial small subunit ribosomal RNA
Source: RNAcentral